Molecule: ribosomal RNA, 388 nt
Filed under: uncultured bacterium
Lineage: Bacteria
Description: bacterial SSU rRNA
Rfam family: Bacterial small subunit ribosomal RNA
Source: RNAcentral
AUUGAACGCUGGCGGCAUGCCUAACACAUGCAAGUCGAACGGUAACAGGGGGCUUCGGCCCGCUGACGAGUGGCGGACGGGUGAGUAAUACGUAGGAAUCUACCUUUUAGUGGGGGAUAAACUUAGGGAAACUUAAGCUAAUACCGCAUAAUCACUACGGUGGAAAGCAGGGGCUCGCAAGACCUUGCGCUGAUAGAUGAGCCUACGUCGGAUUAGCUUGUUGGUAGGGUAAAGGCCUACCAAGGCGACGAUCCGUAGCUGGUCUGAGAGGACGACCAGCCACACUGGGACUGAGACACGGCCCAGACUCCUACGGGAGGCAGCAGUGGGGAAUAUUGGACAAUGGGGGCAACCCUGAUCCAGCAAUGCCGCGUGUGUGAAGAAGGCC